GCAGCAUGGUCUUAGCUUGCUAAGGCCGAUGGCGACCGGCGCACGGGUGAGUAACACGUAUCCAACCUGCCGUCUACUCUUGGACAGCCUUCUGAAAGGAAGAUUAAUACAAGAUGGCAUCAUGAGUCCGCAUGUUCACAUGAUUAAAGGUAUUCCGGUAGACGAUGGGGAUGCGUUCCAUUAGAUAGUAGGCGGGGUAACGGCCCACCUAGUCUUCGAUGGAUAGGGGUUCUGAGAGGAAGGUCCCCCACAUUGGAACUGAGACACGGUCCAAACUCCUACGGGAGGCAGCAGUGAGGAAUAUUGGUCAAUGGGCGAGAGCCUGAACCAGCCAAGUAGCGUGAAGGAUGACUGCCCUAUGGGUUGUAAACUUCUUUUAUAAAGGAAUAAAGUCGGGUAUGGAUACCCGUUUGCAUGUACUUUAUGAAUAAGGAUCGGCUAACUCCGUGCCAGCAGCCGCGGUAAUACGGAGGAUCCGAGCGUUAUCCGGAUUUAUUGGGUUUAAAGGGAGCGUAGAUGGAUGUUUAAGUCAGUUGUGAAAGUUUGCGGCUCAACCGUAAAAUUGCAGUUGAUACUGGAUAUCUUGAGUGCAGUUGAGGCAGGCGGAAUUCGUGGUGUAGCGGUGAAAUGCUUAGAUAUCACGAAGAACUCCGAUUGCGAAGGCAGCCUGCUAAGCUGCAACUGACAUUGAGGCUCGAA
This 699-nucleotide ribosomal RNA is filed under the name uncultured Bacteroidales bacterium. Its description in RNAcentral is "bacterial SSU rRNA". It matches the Rfam family "Bacterial small subunit ribosomal RNA", at positions 66 to 757 of the family's 1533-position model. Lineage: Bacteria; Pseudomonadati; Bacteroidota; Bacteroidia; Bacteroidales. The record is from RNAcentral.